Molecule: transfer RNA, 88 nt
Filed under: Dehalococcoidia bacterium
Lineage: Bacteria; Bacillati; Chloroflexota; Dehalococcoidia
Description: tRNA-Leu
Source: RNAcentral
GCCGGUGGAUGGCCAGAACCGAUGUUCUACGGACUUAAAAUCCGCUGCCCGCAAGGGCGUGUGGGUUCGAAUCCCACCCCCGGCACCA